Molecule: transfer RNA, 74 nt
Filed under: Clostridia bacterium
Lineage: Bacteria; Bacillati; Bacillota; Clostridia
Description: tRNA-Gly
Rfam family: tRNA
About the family: Transfer RNA (tRNA) molecules are approximately 80 nucleotides in length. Their secondary structure includes four short double-helical elements and three loops (D, anti-codon, and T loops).
Source: RNAcentral
GCAGGUAUAAUUUAGGGGUAAAAUGUGUGCUUCCCAAGCACAAUUCACGGGUUCGAUUCCCGUUACCUGCUCCA